CAUAGGUUAAUGAGGCGAACCGGGGGAACUGAAACAUCUAAGUACCCCGAGGAAAAGAAAUCAACCGAGAUUCCCCCAGUAGCGGCGAGCGAACGGGGAGCAGCCCAGAGCCUGAAUCAGUGUGUGUGUUAGUGGAAGCGUCUGGAAAGGCGCGCGAUACAGGGUGACAGCCCCGUACACAAAAAUGCACAUGCUGUGAGCUCGAUGAGUAGGGCGGGACACGUGGUAUCCUGUCUGAAUAUGGGGGGACCAUCCUCCAAGGCUAAAUACUCCUGACUGACCGAUAGUGAACCAGUACCGUGAGGGAAAGGCGAAAAGAACCCCGGCGAGGGGAGUGAAAAAGAACCUGAAACCGUGUACGUACAAGCAGUGGGAGCACGCUUAGGCGUGUGACUGCGUACCUUUUGUAUAAUGGGUCAGCGACUUAUAUUCUGUAGCAAGGUUAACCGAAUAGGGGAGCCGAAGGGAAACCGAGUCUUAACUGGGCGUUAAGUUGCAGGGUAUAGACCCGAAACCCGGUGAUCUAGCCAUGGGCAGGUUGAAGGUUGGGUAACACUAACUGGAGGACCGAACCGACUAAUGUUGAAAAAUUAGCGGAUGACUUGUGGCUGGGGGUGAAAGGCCAAUCAAACCGGGAGAUAGCUGGUUCUCCCCGAAAGCUAUUUAGGUAGCGCCUCGUGAAUUCAUCUCCGGGGGUAGAGCACUGUUUCGGCAAGGGGGUCAUCCCGACUUACCAACCCGAUGCAAACUACGAAUACCGGAGAAUGUUAUCACGGGAGACACACGGCGGGUGCUAACGUCCGUCGUGAAGAGGGAAACAACCCAGACCGCCAGCUAAGGUCCCAAAGUCAUGGUUAAGUGGGAAACGAUGUGGGAAGGCCCAGACAGCCAGGAUGUUGGCUUAGAAGCAGCCAUCAUUUAAAGAAAGCGUAAUAGCUCACUGGUCGAGUCGGCCUGCGCGGAAGAUGUAACGGGGCUAAACCAUGCACCGAAGCUGCGGCAGCGACGCUUAUGCGUUGUUGGGUAGGGGAGCGUUCUGUAAGCCUGCGAAGGUGUGCUGUGAGGCAUGCUGGAGGUAUCAGAAGUGCGAAUGCUGACAUAAGUAACGAUAAAGCGGGUGAAAAGCCCGCUCGCCGGAAGACCAAGGGUUCCUGUCCAACGUUAAUCGGGGCAGGGUGAGUCGACCCCUAAGGCGAGGCCGAAAGGCGUAGUCGAUGGGAAACAGGUUAAUAUUCCUGUACUUGGUGUUACUGCGAAGGGGGGACGGAGAAGGCUAUGUUGGCCGGGCGACGGUUGUCCCGGUUUAAGCGUGUAGGCUGGUUUUCCAGGCAAAUCCGGAAAAUCAAGGCUGAGGCGUGAUGACGAGGCACUACGGUGCUGAAGCAACAAAUGCCCUGCUUCCAGGAAAAGCCUCUAAGCAUCAGGUAACAUCAAAUCGUACCCCAAACCGACACAGGUGGUCAGGUAGAGAAUACCAAGGCGCUUGAGAGAACUCGGGUGAAGGAACUAGGCAAAAUGGUGCCGUAACUUCGGGAGAAGGCACGCUGAUAUGUAGGUGAAGUCCCUCGCGGAUGGAGCUGAAAUCAGUCGAAGAUACCAGCUGGCUGCAACUGUUUAUUAAAAACACAGCACUGUGCAAACACGAAAGUGGACGUAUACGGUGUGACGCCUGCCCGGUGCCGGAAGGUUAAUUGAUGGGGUUAGCGCAAGCGAAGCUCUUGAUCGAAGCCCCGGUAAACGGCGGCCGUAACUAUAACGGUCCUAAGGUAGCGAAAUUCCUUGUCGGGUAAGUUCCGACCUGCACGAAUGGCGUAAUGAUGGCCAGGCUGUCUCCACCCGAGACUCAGUGAAAUUGAACUCGCUGUGAAGAUGCAGUGUACCCGCGGCAAGACGGAAAGACCCCGUGAACCUUUACUAUAGCUUGACACUGAACAUUGAGCCUUGAUGUGUAGGAUAGGUGGGAGGCUUUGAAGUGUGGACGCCAGUCUGCAUGGAGCCGACCUUGAAAUACCACCCUUUAAUGUUU
Molecule: ribosomal RNA, 2026 nt
Filed under: Escherichia coli
Lineage: Bacteria; Pseudomonadati; Pseudomonadota; Gammaproteobacteria; Enterobacterales; Enterobacteriaceae
Description: partial 23S ribosomal RNA
Rfam family: Bacterial large subunit ribosomal RNA
Source: RNAcentral